This 96-nucleotide transfer RNA is filed under the name Eltroplectris calcarata. Its description in RNAcentral is "partial transfer RNA-Phe". Lineage: Eukaryota; Viridiplantae; Streptophyta; Magnoliopsida; Asparagales; Orchidaceae. The record is from RNAcentral.
UCAUUGACAUAGAUAAUUGACAUAGAUACAAGUACUCUGCUAGAAUGAUGCAGGUAAAUGGUCGGGAUAGCUCAGUUGGUAGAGCAGAGGACUGAA